CCAGGGGGCCGCCUUCGCCACCGGUAUUCCUUCAGAUCUGUACGCAUUUCACCGCUACACCUGAAAUUCUACCCCCCUCUACAGUACUCUAGUUUGACAGUUUCAAAUGACCUUCCGAGGUUGAGCCCCGGGCUUUCACAUCUGACUUAACAAACCACCUGCAUGCGCUUUACGCCCAGUAAUUCCGAUUAACGCUCGCACCCUCCGUAUUACCGCGGCUGCUGGCACGGAGUUAGCCGGUGCUUCUUCUGUCGCUAACGUCAAAUAAUAAAAGUAUUAAUUCUAUUACCUUCCUCACGACUGAAAGUACUUUACAACCCGAAGGCCUUCUUCAUACACGCGGCAUGGCUGCAUCAGGCUUGCGCCCAUUGUGCAAUAUUCCCCACUGCUGCCUCCCGUAGGAGUCUGGGCCGUGUCUCAGUCCCAGUGUGGCUGAUCAUCCUCUCAGACCAGCUAGGGAUCGUCGCCUUGGUGAGCCAUUACCUCACCAACUAGCUAAUCCCACAUAGGCGUAUCCAAACGCACAAGGCCCGAAGGUCCCCUGCUUUGCUCCAAAGAGAGUAUGCGGUAUUAGCCAUCGUUUCCAAUGGUUAUCCCCCUCGUCUGGGCAACUUCCUAUGCAUUACUCACCCGUCCGCCGCUCGACGCCGAAUAGCAAGCUAUUCUCGUUUCCGCUCGACUUGCAUGUGUUAGGCCUGCCGCCAGCGUUCAAUCUGAGCCAGGAUCAAACUCU
This 733-nucleotide ribosomal RNA is filed under the name uncultured bacterium. RNAcentral describes it as "partial 16S ribosomal RNA". The record is from RNAcentral.